AUUUGAUGCUGUGGGCAUCUCUUGCACAACCUGUUGAACCUUUCCCAAUAGUCAUACAAGGACUCCCCGGAGUACUGCUUGAUGCUGCAUAUCUCCUUUCUCAAACU
This is a small nucleolar RNA of Coffea arabica (coffee), 107 nucleotides long. Lineage: Eukaryota; Viridiplantae; Streptophyta; Magnoliopsida; Gentianales; Rubiaceae. The record is from RefSeq and is a predicted model, not a curated record.